CAGUACCCGCGGGAAUACGUAUGUCACAAGCGUUAUCCGGAUUUAUUGGGCGUAAAGCGCGUCUAGGCGGUUAAUUAAGUCUGAUGUGAAAAUGCGGAGCUCAACUCCGUAUUGCGUUGGAAACUGGUUAACUAGAGUACUGGAGAGGUAAGCGGAACUACAAGUGUAGAGGUGAAAUUCGUAGAUAUUUGUAGGAAUGCCGAUGGGGAAGCCAGCUUACUGGACAGAUACUGACGCUAAAGCGCGAAAGCGUGGGUAGCAAACAGGAUUAGAUACCCGGGUAGUCCCUGUCUCUUAUACA
RNAcentral lists this ribosomal RNA (301 nucleotides) under uncultured bacterium. Its description in RNAcentral is "partial 16S ribosomal RNA". It matches the Rfam family "Bacterial small subunit ribosomal RNA", at positions 509 to 808 of the family's 1533-position model. The record is from RNAcentral.